This 46-nucleotide ribosomal RNA is filed under the name Saccharomyces cerevisiae (brewer's yeast). RNAcentral describes it as "partial 26S ribosomal RNA". The record is from RNAcentral. Lineage: Eukaryota; Fungi; Ascomycota; Saccharomycetes; Saccharomycetales; Saccharomycetaceae.
GUUUGACCUCAAAUCAGGUAGGAGUACCCGCUGAACUUAAGCUAUC